GUUAAAUAUUGCGUGUAGCAUAUUCGCUGGAGUGGAAUUUUCAGACUAUGUCUAAAAAUAGCUGAAAACAGUACGAAAAUGUUCUAUUUUCGCAUUUCUGUCAAAAAAGGAUUUUAACUGUAGAAGAUUCAUACCAUUUGAUGCCAAGUGUACAAUAAAAACUUAUAUGAAAAUUGACAACAGAAGUGUCAUGGUCUUGGUGGAAAAUGCUGUGCUCUUCAUUGACCUCUGUUUAAUAAUGACUGGUGAUAGAAAACUAUCAGGAAUGCUUCAAGCUGGCAAUGGAGGGAAAUGUAAACGUAGGUAGGAAAUGAUAAAAUGCAAUAGGAUAUAAACCAAUUUUAUGAAUAAUACAAUUAGAUGAAUUUUAUAUUGAUACAAUGUUGGGCAUCUUACUUUGAGCAGUUAACUGGUAUAACAUAAUUGUUAUUUAACUUAUAUGAAUAUUAAACAAGAAAUAAAAUGUGACCAGAAUGGUGUUUUUCAUGUUUUCUUAAAUCCCCUACUUAUUUUUUUUAAAAAGACAAUAAUUUUCGUAAAUAUGCAAACUAUUUGAGUUGAAAACUAGGAAUGUAAAUUAUGUGUUACUUGUAGUUUAACGAUUAAAAGGCGUUUUCAUAAAUGUAUUAUAUUGUGCUGUAUUAAACAAUAUUUUAUAACUUUUUAUGUUUUUCGGGACACUGAGAAAUCACAAGGUUUCAAACAUCUAGAAUAUGCUCACGGUCAGUCUUCAAGAUACUCACCUUAAAGGUUCCAGUGUGUUUUAGGAGACUUUGUCAGAACAGUACUUUAUACCUACAUACACUGGAGAUACCAGACCCAGCAGAUAACUACAGAUAUAUUGACACAGAACAUGAAAUUAAUUGUAUAUCCCAUCACAACAUUAGUCUUUAAACUGUUAAAUAGGCAGUGAGGCAUUUGUGUGUAACCCUCAUUAUUUGAAAUAAA
Long non-coding RNA from Mya arenaria, 948 nucleotides. RefSeq lists it as uncharacterized. NCBI's taxonomy places the organism in Eukaryota, Metazoa, Mollusca, Bivalvia, Myida, Myidae. The record is from RefSeq and is a predicted model, not a curated record. The transcript is spliced from 3 exons.